RNAcentral lists this ribosomal RNA (443 nucleotides) under uncultured bacterium. RNAcentral describes it as "partial 16S ribosomal RNA". It matches the Rfam family "Bacterial small subunit ribosomal RNA", at positions 338 to 795 of the family's 1533-position model. The record is from RNAcentral.
CCUACGGGAGGCAGCAGUGGGGAAUAUUGGGCAAUGGGCGCAAGCCUGACCCAGCAACGCCGCGUGAAGGAAGAAGGCUCUCGGGUUGUAAACUUCUUUUAUCAGGGACGAAGCAAGUGACGGUACCUGAUGAAUAAGCCACGGCUAACUACGUGCCAGCAGCCGCGGUAAUGCGUAGGGUGCAAGCGUUAUCCGGAUUUACUGGGUGGAAAGGGCGUGUAGGCGGGAAAGCAAGUCAGAUGUGAAAACCAUGGGCUCAACCUGUGCCCUGCAUUUGAAACUGUUUUUCUUGAGUACUGGAGAGGCAGACGGAAUUCCUAGUGUAGCGGUGAAAUGCGUAGAUAUUAGGAGGAACACCAGUGGCGAAGGCGGUCUGCUGGACAGCAACUGACGCUGAGGCGCGAAAGCGUGGGGAGCAAACAGGAUUAGAUACCCUUGUAGUC